This is a non-coding RNA of Camelina sativa (false flax), 2003 nucleotides long. The record is from RefSeq and is a predicted model, not a curated record. Lineage: Eukaryota; Viridiplantae; Streptophyta; Magnoliopsida; Brassicales; Brassicaceae.
AUAAAGUUCAGAAAAAUGUUUAACCUAAACACUCAAAUGACACACACAAAUACACAAUCUCAUUUCCUUCCUUCAACACACAGUCUCGUCUUCUACGAUAAACACCACAACACAAACCUUCUCAAGUCCAGCUCUCUCUCUAUCUUCCCAUUAAUUCUUCUUCUCUUCCCCGGCACAACAAUCCUGCUUCAGAUCUUCGAAUUUUGUUACCGUAGUCAUGAUGCAAACACUCCUCCAAAUCUCAGAUCUGGCAUCGUUUACUCGGAUUCACACACUCCAACCAUAUAAUCAUCUGAAUCUCCUUCGUCUCCAAUUCGUCAGAUCCUCCUCCUUCAAGAAAUCUCCUCUUUAUAGCCUCUAUUUUGCGUUCUAGAUCCGCACUACUUCAAUCUUCCCAUAGAUCGAUCUCCUCCUCAAAUACACGAUUCAACCAAUCUUAUCUGGUGACUUCUCCAAACAACUGAUUUUGUAGGUUUAUUAUAAGAUCUAUGCAAGAAGGGUUUCUCAGCUGGGCUCAUUUAAGAGAAUAACGAGACAAGAGGAAGAACAAAACAAGAGUUUUGUCGAAGAACAAUUAACAGCCAAGGGUUUUGUCUCUGAUUUCAUCUCGUUGACCAGUGAAGAAUAUCAAGGUAGAGAAGAAAAUUUGCUUGGAUUUUAGAAAACAAUCGUGAGUUUCAGUUUCAUCAUAUUAGUCCAAAUGCACCCACCAAUUGUUUGCUUUUAUUCCUCACUAACAAUUUCCUUGUUCAAAGGGAGGCUGAGAACUGUUGCUGCUUGCAAGUUAUCUUUCGGAGUUAGGAAUGCUGUAAGGAGGUUUGUGAGGAAGUGAAUCAAGCGAGAGAGACAAGGCAAACUGAGUUGAAGCAAGGAGUCGAGAUAUGACAACAUAUACUGAAACAAUCUUCGGAAGCACCUCGAGCUCAACAACAAACUAGAAGAUGAGCUAAAAAUGUUUAUGAUUUUUCUCAUUUCCAUAGUUUUCAAUUUCCUUUCGACAUCUAUACAAAAAUUAUUGUACUUGUAAAUUUUUAUAACUAAUAAUAAUUAUUCUUUUUUCCUUGUAAAUUAAAAUUGGGGUUUUGGAAUUUAAAAUUAGGUACUGGAAUAAAAAUAAAAAAUUGCAUAUUACAAAUGAAAGUUUUACAUUUAUAAAAUGCUACAGUAAUAACAAAACAAAUACGUUAUUAUAGAAUAUUUAAUUAAAGACGAGUAAACAUUAUUGUAUAUGACAGUACGAUAGCGGAAUAAAAAAAAAGCUAUCUAAAGUGUGUGACCUAUAAUGACGGGCGCAGAUAUAGCGUUUUGACAAACGCUAUGGUAUUGAUAGAUAGCGUUAUUUAGAUGCUAUUAAAACUCAAUAUUCUUGUAGUGACUCUGACUUUGCUUUCUCUGUUAAUAUGAUUUGCAGAUGGGUUCAUAAUCACCAGUGUACGAAGAUUAUACCGAUGAUGAUUUAAACGAUGAAGAAGAACUUUUGACACCGACUUCUAAAGCAAUGGGCAAAAGGAAACAAACUCAUGGAAGUGAAUCCGGUGGUGGUACUACUACUGAGAAAAACAAGACACCAAGGACACUAGCACCAAGGUUUGGUGUGUGGACUCAUUUCACAAGAUUAUCAGGCAGCCGUAACAUAUGUAAGUGUAACCAUUGUGGAAAGGGAUUAGGAUGUUCAACCAAAUCAGGGAAAAAGAACUUGUGGAAUCAUCUCAAAAUAUGUAAGGUACACAAGGCAUGGAAAGAAGAUCAAAAUGCUAUAGGAGGACAGCAGGUGAUUAAUAAGGAAGAAAUCUACAAAAUGCAAAAGUCCCUGAUUAUGUUUUCAGAGAAGCACUUAAUUAAAUGUUGGUGAUAGGACAGUUGCCAUUGUCUUUUGUAGAAGGAGUGACAUUAAAAUUCUUUUGCAACAAGGUAAACUUGUAUAAGCUGCAUUCAAGAAGGACAACAACAAGAGACAUUGUGAAAAUGUAUGUUGAGAGGAAGGCUACUCUUCAACAAUGCUU